This 468-nucleotide ribosomal RNA is filed under the name uncultured bacterium. Its description in RNAcentral is "partial 16S ribosomal RNA". It matches the Rfam family "Bacterial small subunit ribosomal RNA", at positions 28 to 507 of the family's 1533-position model. The record is from RNAcentral.
GACGAACGCUGGCGGCGUGCUUAACACAUGCAAGUCGAACGGAAAGGCCCUGCUUUUGUGGGGUGCUCGAGUGGCGAACGGGUGAGUAACACGUGAGUAACCUGCCCUUGACUUUGGGAUAACUUCAGGAAACUGGGGCUAAUACCGGAUAGGAGCUCCUGCUGCAUGGUGGGGGUUGGAAAGUUUCGGCGGUUGGGGAUGGACUCGCGGCUUAUCAGCUUGUUGGUGGGGUAGUGGCUUACCAAGGCUUUGACGGGUAGCCGGCCUGAGAGGGUGACCGGCAACAUUGGGACUGAGAUACGGCCCAGACUCCUACGGGAGGGAGCAGUGGGGAAUAUUGUACAAUGGGCGGAAGCCUGAUACAGCAACGCCGCGUGCGGGAUGACGGCCUUCGGGUUGUAAACCGCUUUCGCCUGGGACGAAGCGUGAGUGACGGUAAUGGGUAAAGAAGCACCGGCUAACUACGUG